Molecule: ribosomal RNA, 253 nt
Filed under: uncultured bacterium
Lineage: Bacteria
Description: partial 16S ribosomal RNA
Rfam family: Bacterial small subunit ribosomal RNA
Source: RNAcentral
UACGUAGGGUGCGAGCGUUAAUCGGAAUUACUGGGCGUAAAGCGUGCGCAGGCGGUUAUGCAAGACAGAUGUGAAAUCCCCGGGCUCAACCUGGGAACUGCAUUUGUGACUGCAGGGCUGGAGUGCGGCAGAGGGGGAUGGAAUUCCGCGUGUAGCAGUGAAAUGCGUAGAUAUGCGGAGGAACACCGAUGGCGAAGGCAAUCCCCUGGGCCUGCACUGACGCUCAUGCACGAAAGCGUGGGGAGCAAACAGG